GCAUUNAGCAUUUCNGCUUNGNGGGUGAACGGUCGCAAGNUUAAAACUCAAAGGAANUGACGGGGUCCGCACAAGCGGUGGAGCAUGUGGUUUAAUUNGAAGCAACGCGCANAACCUUACCUAACCCUUGACAUGGCAGGACCGCUGGAGAGAUUCAGCUUUCUNGUAAGAGACCUGCACACAGGUGCUGCAUGGCUGUCGUCAGCUCGUGUCGUGAGAUGUUCGGUUAAGUCCGGCAACGAGCGCAACCCACGUCCCUAGUUGCCAGCAUUCAGUUGGGCACUCUAUGGAAACUGCCGAUGAUAAGUCGGAGGAAGGUGUGGAUGACGUCAAGUCCUCAUGGCCCUUACGGGUUGGGCUACACACGUGCUACAAUGGUGGUGACAGUGGGUUAAUCCCCAAAAGCCAUCUCAGUUCGGAUUGUCCUCUGCAACUCGAGGGCAUGAAGUUGGAAUCGCUAGUAAUCGCGGAACAGCAUGCCGCGGUGAAUACGUUCCCGGGCCUUGUACACACCGCCCGUCACACCAUGGGAGUUGGUUCUACCCGACGACGCUGCGCUAACCCUUCGGGGAGGCAGGCGGCCACGGUAGGNCAGCGACGGNNGAG
Molecule: ribosomal RNA, 606 nt
Filed under: Paracoccus sp. D39p6
Lineage: Bacteria; Pseudomonadati; Pseudomonadota; Alphaproteobacteria; Rhodobacterales; Paracoccaceae
Description: bacterial SSU rRNA
Rfam family: Bacterial small subunit ribosomal RNA
Source: RNAcentral